Molecule: ribosomal RNA, 497 nt
Filed under: uncultured bacterium
Lineage: Bacteria
Description: partial 16S ribosomal RNA
Rfam family: Bacterial small subunit ribosomal RNA
Source: RNAcentral
GAUGAACGCUGGCGGCGUGCCUAAUACAUGCAAGUCGAGCGAACAGACGAGGAGCUUGCUCCUCUGACGUUAGCGGCGGACGGGUGAGUAACACGUGGAUAACCUACCUAUAAGACUGGGAUAACUUCGGGAAACCGGAGCUAAUACCGGAUAAUAUAUUGAACCGCAUGGUUCAAUAGUGAAAGGCGGUUUUGCUGUCACUUAUAGAUGGAUCCGCGCCGCAUUAGCUAGUUGGUAAGGUAACGGCUUACCAAGGCAACGAUGCGUAGCCAACCUGAGAGGGUGAUCGGCCACACUGGAACUGAGACACGGUCCAGACUCCUACGGGAGGCAGCAGUAGGGAAUCUUCCGCAAUGGGCGAAAGCCUGACGGAGCAACGCCGCGUGAGUGAUGAAGGUCUUCGGAUCGUAAAACUCUGUUAUUAGGGAAGAACAAAUGUGUAAGUAACUAUGCACGUCUUGACGGUACCUAAUCAGAAAGCCACGGCUAACUACGUG